CUCGCUCAGUCUCGUUCAAUCUA
RNAcentral lists this non-coding RNA (23 nucleotides) under Arabidopsis thaliana (thale cress). Lineage: Eukaryota; Viridiplantae; Streptophyta; Magnoliopsida; Brassicales; Brassicaceae. The record is from RNAcentral.